Molecule: ribosomal RNA, 686 nt
Filed under: Escherichia coli
Lineage: Bacteria; Pseudomonadati; Pseudomonadota; Gammaproteobacteria; Enterobacterales; Enterobacteriaceae
Description: partial 23S ribosomal RNA
Rfam family: Bacterial large subunit ribosomal RNA
Source: RNAcentral
GGGUUGUGAGGUUAAGCGACUAAGCGUACACGGUGGAUGCCCUGGCAGUCAGAGGCGAUGAAGGACGUGCUAAUCUGCGAUAAGCGUCGGUAAGGUGAUAUGAACCGUUAUAACCGGCGAUUUCCGAAUGGGGAAACCCAGUGUGAUUCGUCACACUAUCAUUAACUGAAUCCAUAGGUUAAUGAGGCGAACCGGGGGAACUGAAACAUCUAAGUACCCCGAGGAAAAGAAAUCAACCGAGAUUCCCCCAGUAGCGGCGAGCGAACGGGGAGCAGCCCAGAGCCUGAAUCAGUGUGUGUGUUAGUGGAAGCGUCUGGAAAGGCGUGCGAUACAGGGUGACAGCCCCGUACACAAAAAUGCACAUACUGUGAGCUCGAUGAGUAGGGCGGGACACGUGGUAUCCUGUCUGAAUAUGGGGGGACCAUCCUCCAAGGCUAAAUACUCCUGACUGACCGAUAGUGAACCAGUACCGUGAGGGAAAGGCGAAAAGAACCCCGGCGAGGGGAGUGAAAAAGAACCUGAAACCGUGUACGUACAAGCAGUGGGAGCACGCUUAGGCGUGUGACUGCGUACCUUUUGUAUAAUGGGUCAGCGACUUAUAUUCUGUAGCAAGGUUAACCGAAUAGGGGAGCCGAAGGGAAACCGAGUCUUAACUGGGCGUUAAGUUGCAGGGUAUAGACCCGAAA